UACGGAGGGUGCAAGCGUUUAUCCGGAUUCACUGGGUUUAAAGGGUGCGUAGGUGGGCAGGUAAGUCAGUGGUGAAAUCUCCGGGCUUAACCCGGAACUGCCGUUGAUACUAUUUGUCUUGAAUAUUGUGGAGGUAAGCGGAAUAUGUCAUGUAGCGGUGAAAUGCUUAGAUAUGACAUAGAACACCAAUUGCGAAGGCAGCUUACUACACAACGAUUGACGCUGAGGCACGAAAGCGUGGGGAUCAAACAGGA
RNAcentral lists this ribosomal RNA (254 nucleotides) under uncultured bacterium. RNAcentral's name for it is "partial 16S ribosomal RNA". It matches the Rfam family "Bacterial small subunit ribosomal RNA", at positions 524 to 777 of the family's 1533-position model. The record is from RNAcentral.